GCGAAAGUAGCUCAGUUGGUAGAGCACGACCUUGCCAAGGUCGGGGUCGCGAGUU
This 55-nucleotide transfer RNA is filed under the name Mucilaginibacter lappiensis. Its description in RNAcentral is "tRNA_Gly_GCC". It matches the Rfam family "tRNA", at positions 1 to 53 of the family's 71-position model. From Rfam's summary of the family: Transfer RNA (tRNA) molecules are approximately 80 nucleotides in length. Their secondary structure includes four short double-helical elements and three loops (D, anti-codon, and T loops). Further hydrogen bonds mediate the characteristic L-shaped molecular structure. tRNAs have two regions of fundamental functional importance: the anti-codon, which is responsible for specific mRNA codon recognition, and the 3' end, to which the tRNAs corresponding amino acid is attached (by aminoacyl-tRNA synthetases). tRNAs cope with the degeneracy of the genetic code in two manners: having more than one tRNA (with a specific anti-codon) for a particular amino acid; and 'wobble' base-pairing, i.e. permitting non-standard base-pairing at the 3rd anti-codon position. Lineage: Bacteria; Pseudomonadati; Bacteroidota; Sphingobacteriia; Sphingobacteriales; Sphingobacteriaceae. The record is from RNAcentral.